Non-coding RNA from Camellia sinensis, 1827 nucleotides. The record is from RefSeq and is a predicted model, not a curated record. NCBI's taxonomy places the organism in Eukaryota, Viridiplantae, Streptophyta, Magnoliopsida, Ericales, Theaceae.
UUUGUUUGAGAAAAAAAUAAAAAAAUCUAAACACUUUCUCAUACUUUCUUAUCAUUUCUCACCAAAUCCCUUCAUCCAAACAGAGCUUUACUUCUAGCAGAAAGCCCAAUGUAAUUUUUGGAGAGGUUGAUCUACUCUCCACUAUGCUCAUGUCUUCCUCCGGGUUCUAUUUCUUCUUCAGGAUGCUUCGGGGAUAUUUCAUAGACACGUGUGUCCAUUGUUUGGAGACGCCUCAAGAUACAUUUAGACAGCUGGAAGUAAUAUUACUGUAGCCAGGACACCUCUGGGAAAUAGAACAAAAAUGUCCUUCCAAACAGAUGCAUGAGACAAAGGCCAUGGCUGGAAAAUCAACUAAGGAGUGUACAAAUGCAUUAACCUAGGAGUGCAAGUAGGUUGCGGUGCCAAAUCCCUGAUAAGAUUGAUGAGGGAAGACAAAAAACGGGGCCAUCUAGAUAUCAUGCAUGCUGUAGUUCUCAAACCUCUUCAACAAGUUCUUGUCGAGGGACACCAGAACGCCUUUUGAUAGCCACAAAAUUGCCAUCACGAAGAAGCCCUUUGUAAACAAGGCCAAAACUUCCAUAUCCAAUGAGAUUGCUUUCAUGGAACAGAUUGGUAGCUUGCUCCAACUCUUCCAUUGUGAACUGUGUAGCUCCGUGUGGUCCAGGCACGGGUGGGGUGGCUGCGGAUGAACUGGGUGGCUCUGAAGAACCCGUAUCUGAAUUCCUGUUUGAUAAAUUUCUACACUGCGAUAUACAGUAACAUGCGAUGCCAAUAGCUAUUGCCAGUACUGCUAGCGCCCCGACAACACCUCCAACUAUGGCCGCGAAUGAGUUUGACAUCCGGUAAAUGUAAGUCCUCCAAUUCCUCCUCAAACCUGAACAUUUGAACCUGUGAUAUAGAAGAACUAGAUAGUUAUUUAGAACCAGUUUACUUAAAAUCUCAGUGAUACCAAUAUUUAGAUCCACAGCUCAAGUGGUUCUCUUGAUUUGAAUGAAAUAAGCCUUCUGUGCUUGUUUCGCCGACAAAGUGCUCAGAUAGGUGAACUGGCUGAUCUCAAAGUAUCCACAUAGGAAACAGCUAUUGUGGUGAGGGAUUAAUGCUGCCAAUUUUUUUCUUACAAAGAAGAAAAGAGGACAACUCACUGGCUUUUCAUGUAUGGAUUCCAUACAAACCCUACAAACAGUGUUUGUACUUGCAUACUUCUGGUACCUCAGGCAAAAAAAAAAAAAACAGUGGCUUAGCAAGAACUUAGAUGGGCAUUUCUCAGUGAUGAAAGUGACUUUUAUUCGAGUGGGAUUGGAGGGACAUCAUUAUUGAAGUUGAAGGGGAUCAAAAGAAAAGAUUGAGCUGUAACUAGAGGCUGGUUCUAGUUACAAAAAUAACUUCUUUCCAAAAUGGGGUAAGGUUGUAUAGAUGCCUUUCUCAUAGCCCGCUUUAACAGAAAUCUCGUGCACUGAGUUGCCUUUUGAUCGAGCUGUAAGGCUGUAUAGAUGCAUUUCUCGAAUCCUGUUUUAACAGAAGUCUUGUGUACUGAAUGGGCCUUUGAUCGAUCUGUAAUUAGGAAGUGUUGUUGAAGUCUGAAAGAUUCUUGAGCUGUAAGGAACCCCCCCCCCCCCCCCCCCCCCCCUCAUAUUUACUUGUUUUGUAUGUUUUUUGUCUUUUGAUUUUGUUGUGUUUUGUGUUGGGCUGGAAAGCAGACGGGAUUGGUGGAAAGGAAGUUGCCAGACUGGAUGUAGAAGGCUCAUGUCAGAGCAAUAAGUCUAAGAAUACAAAAAUCAAACGCAAAAUCGGAUAUAAAAAAUAAACAAUGGAUAGGAUUUUUGAGAA